AAUCCAUAGGUUAAUGAGGCGAACCGGGGGAACUGAAACAUCUAAGUACCCCGAGGAAAAGAAAUCAACCGAGAUUCCCCCAGUAGCGGCGAGCGAACGGGGAGGAGCCCAGAGCCUGAAUCAGCAUGUGUGUUAGUGGAAGCGUCUGGAAAGGCGCGCGAUACAGGGUGACAGCCCCGUACACAAAAGCGCAUGUGCUGUGAGCUCGAUGAGUAGGGCGGGACACGUGGUAUCCUGUCUGAAUAUGGGGGGACCAUCCUCCAAGGCUAAAUACUCCUGACUGACCGAUAGUGAACCAGUACCGUGAGGGAAAGGCGAAAAGAACCCCGGCGAGGGGAGUGAAAAAGAACCUGAAACCGUGUACGUACAAGCAGUGGGAGCACCCUUCGGGGUGUGACUGCGUACCUUUUGUAUAAUGGGUCAGCGACUUAUAUUCUGUAGCAAGGUUAACCGUAUAGGGGAGCCGUAGGGAAACCGAGUCUUAACCGGGCGUUAAGUUGCAGGGUAUAGACCCGAAACCCGGUGAUCUAGCCAUGGGCAGGUUGAAGGUUGGGUAACACUAACUGGAGGACCGAACCGACUAAUGUUGAAAAAUUAGCGGAUGACCUGUGGCUGGGGGUGAAAGGCCAAUCAAACCGGGAGAUAGCUGGUUCUCCCCGAAAGCUAUUUAGGUAGCGCCUCGUGAAUUCAUCUCCGGGGGUAGAGCACUGUUUCGGCUAGGGGGCCAUCCCGGCUUACCAACCCGAUGCAAACUGCGAAUACCGGAGAAUGUUAUCACGGGAGACACACGGCGGGUGCUAACGUCCGUCGUGAAGAGGGAAACAACCCAGACCGCCAGCUAAGGUCCCAAAGUCAUGGUUAAGUGGGAAACGAUGUGGGAAGGCCCAGACAGCCAGGAUGUUGGCUUAGAAGCAGCCAUCAUUUAAAGAAAGCGUAAUAGCUCACUGGUCGAGUCGGCCUGCGCGGAAGAUGUAACGGGGCUAAACCAUGCACCGAAGCUGCGGCAGCGACACUGUGUGUUGUUGGGUAGGGGAGCGUUCUGUAAGCCUGUGAAGGUGGCCUGUGAGGGUUGCUGGAGGUAUCAGAAGUGCGAAUGCUGACAUAAGUAACGAUAAAGCGGGUGAAAAGCCCGCUCGCCGGAAGACCAAGGGUUCCUGUCCAACGUUAAUCGGGGCAGGGUGAGUCGACCCCUAAGGCGAGGCCGAAAGGCGUAGUCGAUGGGAAACGGGUUAAUAUUCCCGUACUUGGUGUUACUGCGAAGGGGGGACGGAGAAGGCUAUGUUGGCCGGGCGACGGUUGUCCCGGUUUAAGCGUGUAGGUGUGUGUUCCAGGUAAAUCCGGUUCACUUUAACACUGAGGCGUGACGACGAGGCACUACGGUGCUGAAGCAACAAAUGCCCUGCUUCCAGGAAAAGCCUCUAAGCAUCAGGUAACAUCAAAUCGUACCCCAAACCGACACAGGUGGUCAGGUAGAGAAUACCAAGGCGCUUGAGAGAACUCGGGUGAAGGAACUAGGCAAAAUGGUGCCGUAACUUCGGGAGAAGGCACGCUGACACGUAGGUGAAGUGAUUUACUCAUGGAGCUGAAGUCAGUCGAAGAUACCAGCUGGCUGCAACUGUUUAUUAAAAACACAGCACUGUGCAAACACGAAAGUGGACGUAUACGGUGUGACGCCUGCCCGGUGCCGGAAGGUUAAUUGAUGGGGUCAGCGCAAGCGAAGCUCCUGAUCGAAGCCCCGGUAAACGGCGGCCGUAACUAUAACGGUCCUAAGGUAGCGAAAUUCCUUGUCGGGUAAGUUCCGACCUGCACGAAUGGCGUAAUGAUGGCCAGGCUGUCUCCACCCGAGACUCAGUGAAAUUGAACUCGCUGUGAAGAUGCAGUGUACCCGCGGCAAGACGGAAAGACCCCGUGAACCUUUACUAUAGCUUGACACUGAACAUUGAGCCUUGAUGUGUAGGAUAGGUGGGAGGCUUUGAAGUGUGGACGCCAGUCUGCAUGGAGCCGACCUUGAAAUACCACCCUUUAAUGUUUGAUGUUCUAACGUGGACCCGUAAUCCGGGUUGCGGACAGUGUCUGGUGGGUAGUUUGACUGGGGCGGUCUCCUCCUAAAGAGUAACGGAGGAGCACGAAGGUUGGCUAAUCCUGGUCGGACAUCAGGAGGUUAGUGCAAUGGCAUAAGCCAGCUUGACUGCGAGCGUGACGGCGCGAGCAGGUGCGAAAGCAGGUCAUAGUGAUCCGGUGGUUCUGAAUGGAAGGGCCAUCGCUCAACGGAUAAAAGGUACUCCGGGGAUAACAGGCUGAUACCGCCCAAGAGUUCAUAUCGACGGCGGUGUUUGGCACCUCGAUGUCGGCUCAUCACAUCCUGGGGCUGAAGUAGGUCCCAAGGGUAUGGCUGUUCGCCAUUUAAAGUGGUACGCGAGCUGGGUUUAGAACGUCGUGAGACAGUUCGGUCCCUAUCUGCCGUGGGCGCUGGAGAACUGAGGGGGGCUGCUCCUAGUACGAGAGGACCGGAGUGGACGCAUCACUGGUGUUCGGGUUGUCAUGCCAAUGGCACUGCCCGGUAGCUAAAUGCGGAAGAGAUAAGUGCUGAAAGCAUCUAAGCACGAAACUUGCCCCGA
RNAcentral lists this ribosomal RNA (2618 nucleotides) under Salmonella enterica subsp. enterica serovar Virchow. RNAcentral describes it as "partial 23S ribosomal RNA". It matches the Rfam family "Bacterial large subunit ribosomal RNA". The record is from RNAcentral. Lineage: Bacteria; Pseudomonadati; Pseudomonadota; Gammaproteobacteria; Enterobacterales; Enterobacteriaceae.